This 84-nucleotide small RNA is filed under the name Sinorhizobium meliloti 2011. RNAcentral describes it as "putative ncRNA". The record is from RNAcentral. Lineage: Bacteria; Pseudomonadati; Pseudomonadota; Alphaproteobacteria; Hyphomicrobiales; Rhizobiaceae.
GAAGGCGUCCCUGUCGCCAGGCGCCGAUAGACGCCGCGUCGAUGUCGGAGGUCGUCAUAUCCUGCGCAUCGCGGUCGAAGACGA